RNAcentral lists this ribosomal RNA (415 nucleotides) under uncultured Funneliformis. RNAcentral's name for it is "partial 28S ribosomal RNA". The record is from RNAcentral. Lineage: Eukaryota; Fungi; Glomeromycota; Glomeromycetes; Glomerales; Glomeraceae.
GAGAGUUAAACAGUACGUGAAAUUGUUGAAAGGGAAACGAUUGAAGUCAGUCAUACCAACGGGAAAUCAACCUCUUGAGUUUGGUCUCGUGGGUUUCGAAGAGUUUUAAAAGCCUUCGGAUUUUCGAGAUUGGGCUCUUCUGGUGUACUUUCUCGUACGGUUAGUCAACAUCGGUUUUGAAUGUCAUAAAAUGACUGGAGGAAUGUGGCUUCGAUCUCGUAUUGAAGUGUUAUAGCCUUUGGUAGAUGUGAUGUUUGAGAUCGAGGAUUGCAACGGAUACCCUUCUGGGCUAUUCGUCUGAUCUCUGAAACGUUGCCUUGAUGUCGAAAGCUUGCUUAUGAUGUUAGGGUAUUACGGUCAAAAGGUUAGAACGGAUUAAAUUCGUUAAGGAUGUUGACGUAAUGACUUUAAACGA